This 316-nucleotide long non-coding RNA is filed under the name Homo sapiens (human). RNAcentral describes it as "HSALNT0312496". The record is from RNAcentral. Lineage: Eukaryota; Metazoa; Chordata; Mammalia; Primates; Hominidae.
GUAAGACUUGCCUUGCUUCCCCUUUACCUUCUGCCAUGAUUAGGAAGCCAGCUGCCAUGUCAUGAGGACACUCCAGUGGCCCUAUGGAGGGGUCCUGCAAGUAAGGACCAGAGGCCUCCCUGUCAACCUGCCAGCAGGUGUGAGCCAUCUUGGAAGCAGAUUCUCCAGCCCAGAUCUUCAGAUGACCACAGGCCCAGGUGACCUCCUGACUGCAACCCCAAGCCACAACCAUGCAAUGAGCCACUCCCUCUUUCCUGCCUACCAUAAACUGUGUGAGAGAAUAAACUGGCACAGCAUUCAAGACACCAUCUUAGAA